AAUUUAAAACACUGCACGAGGAACAAUUGGAGGGCAAGUCUGGUGCCAGCAGCCGCGGUAAUUCCAGCUCCAAUAGCGUAUAUUAAAGUUGUUGCAGUUAAAAAGCUCGUAGUUGAAUUUCUAGUCAGUUAAUUUGGAGGUCUCCUUCACUUUAGCUGGCUAUUCGACACUGAACCAUGCCGGUUAUUAAGUUAACCCCAUGGAGAAUUGUCAUUUUACUUUGAAAAAAUUAGAGUGUUUCAGGCAGGCAAUUGCCCGGAUAUCUUAGCAUGGAAUAAUGGAAUAGGACUUUGGUUCAUUUUAUUGGUUAUUGAAUCAGAGUAAUGAUUAAUAGGGACAGUUGGGGGCAUUAGUAUUUAAUUGUCAGAGGUGAAAUUCUUGGAUUUAUUAAAGACUAACUUAUGCGAAAGCAUUUGCCAAGGAUGUUUUCAUUAAUCAAGAACGAAAGUUAGGGGAUCAAAGACGAUCAGAUACCGUCCUAGUCUUAACUAUAAACUAUACCGACUCAGGAUUGGCGAUGCACUAGCUUCGUCAGCACUGUAUGAGAAAUUAAAGUCUUUGGGUUCUGGGGGGAGUAUGGUCGCAAGGCUGAAACUUAAAGGAAUUGACGGAAGGGCACCACCAGGAGUGGAGCCUG
Molecule: ribosomal RNA, 637 nt
Filed under: uncultured apostome ciliate
Lineage: Eukaryota; Ciliophora; Oligohymenophorea; Apostomatida
Description: SSU rRNA
Rfam family: Eukaryotic small subunit ribosomal RNA
Source: RNAcentral